UAGCUAGUUGGUUGGGUAAGGGCCUACCAAGGCGACGAUCGGUAGCUGGUCUGAGAGGAUGACCAGCCACACUGGAAUUGAGACACGGUCCAGACUCCUACGGGAGGCAGCAGUGGGGAAUAUUGGACAAUGGGGGCAACCCUGAUCCAGCAAUGCCGCGUGUGUGAAGAAGGCCUGAGGGUUGUAAAGCACUUUCAGUGGGGAGGAGGGUUGAUAGGUUAAGAGCUAAUUAACUGGACGNUACCCACAGAAGAAGCACCGGCUAACUCCGUGCCAGCAGCCGCGGUAAUACGGAGGGUGCGAGCGUUAAUCGGAAUUACUGGGCGUAAAGGGUGCGUAGGUGGUUGAUUAAGUUAUCUGUGAAAUUCCUGGGCUUAACCUGGGACGGUCAGAUAAUACUGGUUGACUCGAGUAUGGGAGAGGGUGGUGGAAUUUCCGGUGUAGCGGUGAAAUGCGUAGAGAUCGGAAGGAACACCAGUGGCGAAGGCGGCUACCUGGCCUAAUACUGACACUGAGGCACGAAAGCGUGGGGAGCAAACAGGAUUAGAUACCCUGGUAGUCCACGCUGUAAACGAUGUCAACUAGUUGUUGGUUAUAUGAAAAUAAUUAGUGGCGC
RNAcentral lists this ribosomal RNA (616 nucleotides) under uncultured Legionella sp. RNAcentral describes it as "bacterial SSU rRNA". It matches the Rfam family "Bacterial small subunit ribosomal RNA", at positions 242 to 849 of the family's 1533-position model. The record is from RNAcentral. Lineage: Bacteria; Pseudomonadati; Pseudomonadota; Gammaproteobacteria; Legionellales; Legionellaceae.